UGUGUAUUAUUAUAAUAUCUAGAGUUAUGAAUAAUAUAUUAUUAUGUGAAAACUAAACAAAGCAAUAUAUAUAUAUACUAAAUUAAAUUUUAAAAGAAAAUAACUAAACCUAAACUACGUAUAGUUAAUAGAAAAUAAGUAAAUACUAAAGUUACAUCAGCUAGAACAUCAUAUUCUCUGUUAAAGUAACUACUAAAGUUAUCUUCUUUGUAGAAGCCCAAAUUUGCCGGGCCCAUACCAACAAAAUAACCCAAACAAUAAACCCGAAGCCCAACUACCCCAGCCCAUUAACCUAAGCUCAGCAUUCAGAAACCCUAAUCCCACUAACCCUAGCCACCUACCCCCCACUUGCCCACUUGCCCACUUGCGCCGAACACCACCAUGCCACUGUCGGCCAUGGCCACCUGCAAGAAGCCAAGUAGAAAUAAACAAAUAGAAAAUAAACAUUUGUAAUCGGUUAUAAAAACCGAAAAUCUCACCAUUGAUAGGGGGAUUUUUUAUUUUUUGCUAUGAAAACAAAAGAUUUUCUUUCAAUAUUAACAGAUUCAAUACAAGAACCAUUCGAAAAUAUAUAUACUAUCAGGGGCUCUAACACCAAAUCGGAGAAUCAAAUCUAAAACCUAAGGUGACUCUUUCUUUUUUUUUUCUUUACUGUUUUGAGUUUAUUUUCUACAUAAAAAAAAAAAGGGAGAGGCCAAGGCGAAAACCCGCAAAGGGCACCUUGAAACCAAAGGGGUUUUGAAUUGAAAACCCAGGAAUGGGCAAUUCAAAUUUUCGAUCAAAGAUGAGGCAUAAAGUAGUUUUGUCUUCUUCGAAUUAACAAGAAGGAAAGAUGCUACAUCUUGGGGCAUCAACAAAGCCUUCUAGGACUUCUAAACACAUAUCAAGUUCAAAAGGGUCCUUAAGAAGUUUGGGGCAGAGAAGCUCAUGCUACGAUAUCUGGGGCACCUAUUUCUAUUUUAUUCAUUUUUUUGUAUUUUUGACAAAAUACAUCAUCUUGAUUAAUUUAUUCUCGUUUUGUAUUCUAGCAAAAUUUGCUAUCUUGAUUAAUUUGUUUAUUUAGAGCUUUGCUCUCAGCAAAUUUUCAUCUUAUCCGUUGUGAUAAUCUUUUUCAUCUUAUUCCUCUCGUAUCUCAGCAAAAUUUGCUAUCUUGAUUUGUUUGUUUAGAGCUUUGCUCUCAACAAAAUUUCAUUUUGUCCAUUUUAAUAAUCUUUUUCAAGCAUUUUUCAUUGAAAUAACGAUUAAUGGACUGACAAUACACAUGCAGAAGGAGUUCUGCAUAUUACUCUGAAAGUUUCUAAAUAAUACGAGGACCUGAAACAGGACUAUUGUUUAGAACUAACCAAACCUAAGGGUUGGAAACAUUUGAGAAAUGAUAGUCUAAAUAGCAUCUAUUUCUUUAGGUUUUCUGUCAAAGGUACUGGCUGAACAAGAAGGCAUCAGUGAUAGAACCUUGAUGAACAAUGAGGAAUGACAACCUAAGCAUUAAAAAUGAAUCAUUCUCAUGACAUUCUACAAAUAUAAUACAUACACAUCUAGUUAGGAGCAUUUGAUUCAUUCUGAUCAUGUCAUCCUAAACACUAGGCGUAAAUAGGUCCUAUCUUCCUAUAUUGGUAGGAAGUGGAUCAAAGAUGCAGAUCUUGUCUUCCCAUAUUGGUGGCGAAGUAGAUCGAAGAAAGCAGAUCUUGUCUUCAUGUAUUGGCGUGAAGUAGAUCGAAGGUAGCAGAUCCUAUCUUCCUAUAUUGGUAGGAAGUGGAUCGAAGAUGCAGAUCUUGUCUUCCCAUAUUGGUGGCGAAGUAGAUCGAAGAAAGCAGAUCUUGUCUUCAUGUAUUGGCGUGAAGUAGAUCGAAGGUAGCAGAUCCUAUCUUCCUAUAUUGGUAGGAAGUGGAUCGAAGAUGCAGAUCUUGUCUUCCCAUAUUGGUGGCGAAGUAGAUCGUAGAAAGCAGAUCUUGUCUUCAUGUAUUGGCGUGAAGUAGAUCGAAGGUAGCAGAUCCUAUCUUCCUAUAUUGGUAGGAAGGGGAUCGAAGAUGCAGAUCUUGUCUUCCCAUAUUGGUGGCGAAGUAGAUCGCAGAAAGCAGGUCUUGUCUUCAUGUAUUGGCGUGAAGUAGAUCGAAGAUAGCAGGUCCUAUCUUCCUAUAUUGAUAGGAAGUGGAUCCAAGAUGCAGAUCUUGUCUUCCCAUACUAGUGGUGAAGUAGAUCGAAAAAAAAAAAAAGCAGAUCUGGUAUUCAUAUAUUGGUUUGAAGUAGAUCGAAGAUUGCAGAUCUUGCCUUCCUGUAUUUGGCAGCGAAGCAGAUCAAAGAUGGCGGAUUUUACCUCCCUGACUAUAGUGGAGUACAUUGAAGCCGAUAAUUCUAUCUCCCUGUAUUUGGCAGUGGAAUAGAUUGAAGAUUACAGAUCUUACCUUCCUGUAUUUGGCAGCGAAGCAGAUCAAAGAUGUCAGAUUUUACCUCCCUGACUACAGUGGAGUACAUUGAAGCCGAUAACUCUAUCUCCCUGUAUUUGGCAGUGGAAUAGAUUGAAGAUUACAGAUCUUAUCUCCCUAAGCAAUAAUGGAGUAGGUUGAAGACGGCAGAUUUUACCUCACUGAUUACAAUGGAGUACAUUGAAGCUGUUAGUUCUACUUCCCUGGGAAACAUUGGAAUAGAUUGAAGAUUUCAGGUCUUAUCUCCCUAAGUAGUAGUGGAGCAGAUCACACCCAAUCUUAUCUCCCUAAAUAGUAGUGGAGCAGACUAAAAACACAAAUCUCAUCCCCAUGGAGUCGUAGCAAAGUAUAUUGAAGCUACAAGGCGUAUCUGAAUUUGAAGUAGAGUGGAUCGAAGCAACAAGAUGUAGCAGGCUGGAAUAAGGCUACUUGAAGAAGAGAAGCACCCAAAGAAGUCAAGCCUCGGUGAGACCAGGCAAAUUUGGUCUUUUUUUAGUCCUUGCUCUGUUCUUGUUACACAAAAACGAGCAAAGAGGGGCAGCUGUAGAAGCCCAAAUUUGCCGGGCCCAUACCAACAAAAUAACCCAAACAAUAAACCCGAAGCCCAACUACCCCAGCCCAUUAACCUAAGCUCAGCAUUCAGAAACCCUAAUCCCACUAGCCCUAGCCACCUACCCCCCACUUGCCCACUUGCCCACUUGCGCCGAACACCACCAUGCCACUGUCGGCCAUGGCCACCUGCAAGAAGCCAAGUAGAAAUAAACAAAUAGAAAAUAAACAUUUGUAAUCGGUUAUAAAAACUGAAAAUCUCACCAUUGAUAGGGGGAUUUUUUAUUUUUUGCUAUGAAACAAAAGAUUUUCUUUCAAUAUUAACAGAUUCAAUACAAGAACCAUUCGAAAAUAUAUAUACUAUCAGGGGCUCUAACACCAAAUCGGAGAAUCAAAUCUAAAACCUAAGGUGACUCUUUCUUUUUUUUUUUCUUUACUGUUUUGAGUUUAUUUUCUACAUAAAAAUACUAAAAAAUAUUAAAACAUAAAAAUAUAUGCAUUAUUAAGCAAAAAAAAAGAAAAAAAAUAUUUUUUUUACCUUUUCCAGCCACCGCGUGCGGUGGCCGGCGCCGGCGCCGGCGCCGGCGAGCCUCCGGUGGCCGUCCGGUGACCGGCCCACCCCCCUGGCCGGAUUCCCCUUUCCCCCUCCCUUCUCUCUCCCUUCUCUCUUCUCUCUCUCUCUCUUUUUUCUUUCCCUCUCCCCAAAUGAUUUUUUUUGGCUAUUUUAGGCCUUUAUAUAGCCCUCCAAAACGACGUCGUUUUGGGGGCUACACUUAAGCCUCAAAACGACGUCGUUUUGGCCAUGCCCGACCCAUCCGACCCGACCCGCUAGAGGAUCCGCGUGUUUUCGUUUGAAUGGGAUAUUUAUGCGCGCAGUCCUUCCGCUUUUCUGAUGCUUCACAAUUAAGUUUUUUAUGGCUUUCAAUUUGGCCCUAUAAUUUCUCGCGCUUUUCGAUUUAGUCCCCGCCAAUGUGCUGCAUUUUAAUGGAAAGGAAUAAUUGUUGUUUCGGUCCCCCAACAUUUCACGCGCGUACAAUUAAGUCCCUUUUCUUUGUUUUCAUUUCAAAUUGGCCCCAUAACUUUGUUUUUAAUUCAAUUUUAGUCCUUUUUUGUUGAUUUUUAUAUCUUUAUUAAAUAUCCUUGUUAUUUUUAUAUUACCAUUAUUAUUAUUAUUAUGUAUUAGUAUAUAUUUUUAUUAUGUACGUGUAUACCUAUAUAUAUUCUCAUAUUUAAUAUUUUUAUUUCACUUUAUUUUAAUAUUUUAUUAAUGUUAUGUUUGUUUCUUUUAUAUUCCAAUGUUAUCAUUAUUAUUAUUCUUAUUAUUUUUAUUAGUUUAUGCUUUGUUAUAUAUUUAUAUAUUUAUAAUACGUAUAUAUACUUGAUAUAUUUGUAUAUACCUCGGUAAUAUUAUUACUAGUUUUCAAUAUACGCAUAUAUUACCUAAAUAUUUUAGUAUUAUGUAAAUAUUUUAACAUUAUAUUAUAUAUGUAUUUAUAUAUUACGUAUGUACAUAUACCUUUUAAUAUUAUAUUUUGUAUUACGUAAAUAUUAUUUUAAAUACUGUAUUGUAUAUAUAUAUCCUUAGUACCACGUUACAUAUAUAUUGUGUAUAUACUUGUUUUCUUACCCUUAUUAUAUUCAUUGUUAAUACAUUUAUUUUUUUUAUACAUGUAUACGUACCCUUUUUAUAAUAUUAUUUUUUACACAUAUAUGUAUAUAUUUAUCUAUGUUUUCAUAUUCUAUAAUUUAUAUGCAUUUCUUAUUUUAUGGCUUAAAAUUAUACAUGCAUAUACUUUUUUACAUAAUUGUAUUUAUUGUCAUCAUUGUUAUUUGGCGUUUGUUUAUUUAUUCAUGUACACUUGUGCUUUUUCUAAAAGGUUAGUUCUAUUUAUUUAUUUGUAUGCUUUGUUUAUGUAAUCGCCUCGUCAUUUCAUUUUGCCUAUUGUAUUGUUGUUACUCACUUUACUUUGCUCACCUCGUCGUAUUCGUUGUUGUUUUGUCAAGCAUUGACACUAAACAUCAAAAGGAAAAUUUUUCUAAAUGAGGCAAUAUUUCGCGUUUGGAAAAUCGAGAAACAUGCCCUAACGUGCUGGGUUUCGAUUCCUCGUUCGACUAAAUAGCCAAAUAUCCUCUUAAAGCUUCAAAGUAUGGUUUCAUUAAACUAUAAGGUGAUCUUGGUUUCGAUGGUUUAGAGUAUCGUGUCCUAACGUGCUGGAUGUGAUAUUCCUUCGGAACAAGAGAAUCUUAUAUUUCAAUUCACGUUAUCAGAGUUUCUUUUAAGGAUCGCAUUUUUAAAACUCUUCAAAUUUUCAAUUUUCGACACUAAGACACUGAUUAAUCAACUAGGUACCAAUUUUGGGCGUAUCGAGGGUGCUAAUCCUUCCUCGUGCGUAACCGACUCCCGAACCCAUUUUUCUGAAUUUCGUAGACAAAAAAAUCGUUGUUUUAAUAAAAUCUAAAUCGUUUAUUAAAAACAACCGUUUUACGAGGUGACCCGAUCACACCUCAUCAAAAAAGAUUGGUGGCGACUCCCAUUUUUCGUUUUAUUUUCAAAAUCCAAGUCGACCCCGUUUCCAUCCAAAAAAAAGGUGUCAACAGCUUGGCGACUCCGCUGGGGAAAAUAAGAGAGUCAAGCCACGUGUUGAUUAUUUCUUGUCUUUUUGUUGAAAGUGGAAAAUUCGAUUUAAAUUUACGAUCCUCUCAUUGCAUCUCUUUUGUUUUGGGUUAUAUUUUUUUAUCGUGUUCUGUAUUUUAUUUUAUACCUCUGCACAUUGCAUUGCAUGACCGCUGGUCACACCUUUUAAGUGGGAGUGAGAAACUACGCAUUCGUGAGGUUUUCACCUCCGCAUGGGAUAGUGAAUCGCUUUCGGGAUACAUCCGUACCUAUGUCUUCGUGAGAUUUUCAUCUCCGCAUGGCCAUAGGGAAAUGUAUUCCCCUGAACUGAACUCGGUCCAUAUGAGCCUAUAAUGGGUGAGGAUCGAGGAAUCUGCUGGUUCAGGUACCCUUACUUUAGAACCAAACCACACAUAGCGAGCCAUAAGAACCCACCGAGAUAGAGCUAUUCCAGACCCUAGUGCUUACCGAAUAGAUGCUUUAUUUAUUAUUGUUUACUUUAAAUCCUAGAUCUAAUUUGCUUUGUUUGUGAUUGCAUGGCAUUUUCAUUUCAAAAGAGGUGUCGAUUCACGUUCAGUAUAGAUAGAAAGCUUAUCAUGGAAAAGAGGUUUCUUGAUAAAGUAGAAGACAAUGCAGCUGUACUAUUAUGGGCUGAGACGAUGUGGAGAGAGAAAGGCGAUAGUCUUGCAGAAGGGUACGUAUCAGAGUUAUGGGACUUCACCCGUAUCAGCGUAAUCCAAAAUGAUCUUCGAGAAAUGAAGGAAAUAUGGGAUCAAUGGGACGACGGGACCAAGCAGAUGUUUUACUGUGACUACGGGGACUUGCCUUACCUACUUGGUAUCAAAGUGGACAAGCAUUUAUUCCGAGCCCUAGCCCAGUUUUGGAAUCCUGCUUACAGUUGUUUCACUUUUGGAAAAGUGGACUUGGUUCCCACCAUGGAAGAAUAUACGACCCUGCUUCGGUGUCCAAAGAUUCAAAUUGACAAAGCCUAUUCUAGAGCUGCUAGUGUCCCGACAUUAUUAAAAAAAUUGAUGAGCAUUACAGGGAUGAGCGAACAGUGGGUCGCUGCCCGGAUCCAACAGAAAGGAGACAGUAAAUGCGUUCCUUGGAAAAGCUUGCGGGAUUUAGUAUUAGCACACCCUGAUGUGAAGAAAAGAGUGGAUGUCUUCGCUCUAGGUAUCUAUGGAUUGGUAAUUUUCCCUAGAGCUUUAGGGCACGUAGAUGAGGCCGUCUCUGAUUUAUUCGAUCGGCUUAGUAAAGGAGUCACGCCCAUCCCGGCAAUCUUAGCAGAAACCUUCAGAUCUCUAAGCGCAUGUCGAAGAGCAGGGGAGGGAAGGUUCAUCGGAUGCGCGCAGCUACUAUUGGUGUGGUUCCAUAGUCACUUUUGGAAGGUGGAAAAUGUCUCCUAUCGAGUCUUCUCAGAAGACUAUUCUCCAUUGAAGGAACAAGUUGCUACACUAAGACAAGACGACAUCACGGAAGAAAAGUGGAUGACGAUGCUCCAAAAUCUUCAGGAGGAUGACGUUGAAUGGAAAGCUCCUUGGAUGGUACCCGACGAGAUCCUGUACCGAUGUGGGGAUUUCGACUGGGUCCCUUUACUCGGAAUUUGGGGAGCUGUCGGUUAUGCCCCUUUACUCGUAUUAAGACAAUAUAGAUCGAGACAGUUCAUACCAGCAACACAAGGGCUGGCUCAAUGUGAGUUUUCUUAUAAGGAUGAAAACUACAAGAGAAAAACUCGAGAAAUAUCUAACGCUUGGAAACAGGUUCACCGAUUGAAAAGAUUUACCGUAGGAGCGAUGGCAACUUCAGAAUAUUAUGGGUGGUGGAGUAAAAGAGUCAAUGACAACAUCCCUAAGCCGAGGGAAGAUUGUGUUCAGUCUAUAGAGGAGCAUCUACAAGUAGUUCCGUCAGAAUUAGAGAUCAUCAAACGAGACUUUGAGAAAAGAAAUUCUGAGUUGGGAAAGAGGAUAGAACAGUUAGAAGAAGAAAGAGUGCAUUUGGGAUUAGACAUCGAUAUCCACAAGCUAGAAGCCGAGAAAUUAAGGAAGGGAAAGAACAAAGCUGAAGAGGAUUUGGAUAGUCUAAAAACAGAUUACAAGAAGCUGCGAUUGUCGAUGAGAACUGUCGGUCUGGGUAAAACGUCAGAGCAGUGGCGACAAGAGAUCAAUGAGGAAAAGAAUAGGGCCAAUCAGUGGGAAAAGAAAUUUCAAGAUGCUCUAGCUCGAGAAAACGCUUUGGAAAGGAGUUUGUUAGAGUGCCGAAAUGAGAAGGCAGGAUUAAAGGUCAAGGUGGCAGAGCUAGAAAAGUCACUUCACUCGUACCGUAGUCGCAACUCCAUGAUCGAAUUAAGAGCAAGCUUAAAUAAGAUCGAAGAACUGAAAGGAAAGGUAGAGGAGCUUGAGGACGCAUUACACAAUUCUGAGCUACGAAUGGAGCUUCUUGAGAGGAGUAAUGAUCAAUGGCAAGAGCAAUUCCAUCAUUCUCAAAGGCAGAUUAGAGAUAGAGAUUACGUUAUGGGCGAAGCUGUGACUCAAGUGCGGGAAGUGGCUGAUCAUCUGUAAACAUUAGCAGUUCAGGCCGAUGUAUUGAGUUUAAAAUAUGAGUCAGAAUCAAGCCGAGGUCGAAAUUUAGCGUGGCUUCUUAGGAAGGUUAAGGCUUUGGGUAUAAAGGCGAAGCCGUAUAUGUAAUUUAUUUUAUGUAAAGAAAUUUGCUUUCUAGUUGAGUUUUCUAAUGAAAUUGAAUUCGAAUCAAUGCAUCUUUUUUGCAUUCAUCUCAUACAUUUGCAUUACAUCUCAUAAAAUGACCCUAAUAAAAUUAAAUUAUGACAGUUACCCUGGAAACCAACCAAAAUCUAAUCAAAUAUCACUACGGUACUCGUCGCCAAACAAAAGCAAUGGAUCAAAGGUUGGAAAGAUUGGAACAGUUGCAACGAGAGAUGCAAGAUCAGAUGCAUGAACGACUGGAAAAAAUCUAGCAGGACAUGUUAGAAUCCCAGAACACUGUGAUGAACCAAUUAAAGUAGUUAUUGGCUGGAGGAAAUAACAAAGGAAAAGACCCCGUAGUUGAUGCUGGGGAAGAUCACGAUGACCCUGUUUAUCCUCCAGGUUUCACCCCAACUAACAUCCAAGCACAACCAGAGGUGUACCCACAGAGGGUACCGGUUACCAUUAGACCUCAAUAUCUGGCUGGUGCCUCGGUACCAUUGCAUUUUCAAAUGGGCUCGGGUUCUAAUCCCGGGGAUAAUCCCACUAAUCCUGUGGUCCCGGACCUCGAUGACGUGGCAGAAACAGAAAAAACAAGAACGAACCUGCCAAAACAACUAGAGGACCGAUGUAGAUGGUUAGAGGAAAAAUUUAGAGUCAUGGAGAACAUCGACUAUCAUCGCGGGGUUGACGCCAAGGAUCUGAGUUUGGUCCCUGAUUUAGUACUCCCACCUAAGUUCAAAAUGCCGGAAUUCGAAAAAUAUAAUGGAACUAGUUGUCCUGAAGCUCAUAUAACUAUGUUCUGUCGAAGAAUGACAGGAUACGUCAACAACGAUCAACUGUUAAUCCACUGCUUCCAGGACAGUUUGAUCGGAUCUGCAGCCAAAUGGUACAACCAACUGAGUCGUGCUAAAGUUAGUUCAUGGAGAGACUUGGCGCAAGCUUUUAUGAAGCAGUACAGUCAUGUAACGGAUAUAACACCCGAUCGAAUUACGUUACAAAACAUGGAGAAAAGGCCCAGCGAGAAUUUCAGGCAGUACGCCCAACGAUGGAGAGAAGUGGCAACACAAGUCCAGCCACCCCUUUUGGAAAAAGAGGUCACCAUGUUGUUUAUCAACACUCUGAAAGCCCCGUUCAUCAACCACAUGUUGGGGAGUGCUACCAAGAGCUUCUCGGAUAUGGUAAUGUCCGGUGAAAUGAUUGAGAAUGCGGUAAGGAGCGGUAAGAUUGACACGGGGGAAAACUUCAAAAGACCAGCCCCAAGGAAAAAAGAGGGCGAAGUAAACAACGUAAGCACAUAUAGCAAGAGCCAUUCAAAACCGAUUACUGUUGGCCCUCCAAAAAUGAUAACCACUAGUCACCAAGCCCCCUCGAGGCAGGAACCCAACACAAGGCCCAACACAAGGACUAACACAGAGAGACUUCAAUUCACGCCCAUUCCAAUAACAUACGGGGAACUGUAUCAGAAGUUAUUUGAUGCACACAUAGUAUCUCCAUUUUAUCUCGAGCCCAUGCAACCUCCAUAUCCCAAAUGGUAUGACACGAAUGCCCAAUGUGAAUACCAUGCAGGGAUACCAGGACACUCAAUUGAGAACUGCACUGGGUUUAAAAAGGCGGUGGAAAGGUUCAUUAAGAUGGGGAUUGUGAAGUUUGACAACCCAUUAGGGCCCAACGUAGCAGCGAAUCCGUUACCCAACCAUGCUGAUAAAGGGGUAAACGCAAUAAUCGAAUGUGAGAAAAAGAGAAUCAAAACCGACAUUGCAGGGAUAAAAACCCCAUUGAGUUGGGUUUGGAGACAAAUGAUAGAAAGAGGUCUCAUCAAACAAGAUUCAAAAGAAAGGCCCGAAGGAACAAAGACGUACUGCGAGUUUCAUGCGGAAGAAGACCAUGACAUUCAAAACUGCACUGAAUUCAAGGCCAUGGUGCAAAAUCUGAUGAACAACAAAGAGCUAGAAUUUUAUGAAGAGAUCAAAGGACUUGAAAAUGGAGAAGUUUAUGCCUCGGAGGAGGGGCCUACGGGAAAGGCCUCAAAUCACCCAGUGGUGAUUAUUUCAAGACCAACGAGUACAGGAUCUGGAAUACAACUGGCGCCAAGGGUCAUAAUCCAAAAACCUGUAGCCUUUCCUUACAAGGAUAGCAAAAUGGUUCCUUGGAAUUACGACUGCAAUGUGAUGAUCACGGGAGAGGAGAACCCGAUAAAUGCUUCAGAAGGGGGUAAUGGCGCAGGCUUCUAUACGCGUAGUGGAAAACGUUACGACCUGGGAAAUACAAAAAGGGAGCCUAUAAAAGGAAAAGCCUUGGCGGUUGAACAAGAUAAAACGAAGACGACCGGAAUUGAACCGCAUAUUAACACACCGGUGACUGAAAAUAAGGCUAAAGAAUUUCUAAAAUUCUUGAGGCAUAGCGAGUAUAGCGUGGUGGAACAAUUGCAUAAGCAACCCGCUCGCAUCUCAGUGCUCGAGUUACUUCUAAGUUCAGAGAUACAUCGUAAUGCGUUGGUAAAAGUGCUAAAUGAGACUUAUGUCGCUAAAGAUAUCUCAGUGAACAAAUUGGAUCACCUGGUUAACAAUAUAAAUGCCGAUAACUUCAUCUUCUUCAACGAUGAUGAGAUCCCGCUAGGUGGUAUGGGAUCUACCAAGACCUUGCACAUCACUGCCCGUUGCAAGGGGUGUAUACUACCGGCGGUACUUGUGGACAAUGGAUCGGCCCUGAAUGUUUUACCCCUGUCCACAUUAAACAGGCUACCUGUGGAUAGUUCUCACAUGAAAUCAUGCCAAAAUAUAGUGAGAGCAUUUGAUGGCACUGAGAGAAAAGUGAUGGGGAGAAUCGAGAUACCUCUAUUGAUUGGUCCAAAUACAUACGAGGUGGACUUUUUGGUAAUGGAUAUUAAACCAUCUUACAAUUGCCUAUUGGGGAGGCCUUGGAUCCAUUCUACAGGAGCUGUACCAUCGUCACUUCACCAAAAGUUAAAAUUGGUGAUAGAGGGUUGAUUGGUGACUAUAGGUGUAGAAGAAGACAUCAUUGCAUCAGUCACCGAUGAUAUGCCAUACAUAGAGGCUGAUAGUGAAGCGAUAGAAUGUUCAUUUUGAUCAUUGAAAUUCGUAAAUGCCACAUUUGUCAUCGAGAUGAGCAAAAUCCCAAAGCCUAAGAUAUCCAAAGCUACGUCAAUGAGCUUACAGCUAACGAUGGGGAAGGGAGCAUUGCCUGGAAGAGGAUUGGGAAAAUACCUCCAGGGAAGGGUCGGAGUACCGAUCCUAGUUAACAAACAGGACCGUUAUGGUUUGGGAUAUAAGCCUAAUGCGAGGGAAAGGAGGAAGGAGAUGGAGAAAAAGCAAGAAAGGAGAAGAGCAUAUUUGGGCGGGAUAGAAGCCAAGUGGGGACCGAUAACCUUUCCUCUUAUAUCUAAGACUUUUGUUUCAGGGGGAAUUGUCCACCCUGAAGAGAAUGAUGAGGUUACAGAAGGAAGGAUUGAGAUGUUGGACAUCAAUGCCAUAUCUGCGGAAGAAAGGGUGGAAAGGAAUUUAUCGGGCAUUCGUCCUUACGAACCUGGAAGUGUUCUGAAUAACUGGACUGCAGAAGAGAUCCCUGUAACAUUUAGAACUAAUUCAGAGUAAUAUUCAGAACACUUGUUGCCCUAAGCCUGGGGGUGAUAAGAAUCUUUUGUAAAAGGCACAUGUCCAAAAUCUAAUUUCAGUGAAAACUUAUCAUUCAGUUUCAUCUUAAGCAAAUAUUCUUUCAUUCUUUUCAUUCCCUUUAUAAUCAUACUAUGCAUACAAGUAUUCUUAGAUUCUUUUAUUUGGGCCUCCAUUUGUUCCAAUAACAGGUCUUCAGAUAUCAACGAGAUGAGCGACUCUGUUACUAAUUCAGAGUCUCUAUUUGAGUAAGACAUGAGUGUAGAUGAUCCUCAAGAUUUUGAAGGCGACCAAGACAGCGUUUUAUCUCCGGAUUUGUUAAGAAUGAUGGAAGAAGAAGAAAAACAAAUUCUACCCUAUAAGGAAUCAGUAGAAGUUGUGAUCUUAGAAGAGGGCAGAGAGGUAAAAAUUGGCGCUUGCAUUGCCAAGGAAACAAGACAAGACCUUGUUGAGUUGCUUCAAGAGUUUAAAGAUAUCUUCGCGUGGUCCUACCAAGAUAUGCCAGGGUUAAGUACUGAUAUCGUGGUACACCGAUUGCCUAUAAAGGAAGAAUGCAAACCAGUCCAACAAAAGCUCCGAAGGAUGAGGCCUGAUGUCUUGCUAAAAAUAAAGGAAGAAGUUAAGAAGCAAUUUGAUGCUGGUUUCUUACAGGUGGUCAAGUACUCAGAAUGGGUAGCCAAUAUAGUCCCUGUUCCUAAGAAAGAUGGGAAGGUGCGAAUGUGUGUGGACUACAGAGACUUGAACAAAGCCAGCCCAAAAGAUAAUUUCCCACUGCCUCAUAUCGAUACCUUGGUAGACAACACGGCCGGAUACUCACUGUUCUCUUUCAUGGAUGGUUUCUCCGGGUACAACCAAAUUAAGAUGCUUUCUGAAGACAGGGAGAAGACCACAUUCAUAACGUUGUGGGGGACGUUUUGUUAUAAAGUGAUGCCUUUUGGAUUGAAAAAUGCGGGAGCAACGUAUCAGAGAGCCAUGGUAGCAUUAUUCCAUGAUAUGAUGCAUAAAGAGAUAGAAGUUUAUGUUGAUGACAUGAUCGCAAAAUCCAGAACAGAAAGGGAACACGUGCAAGUUCUGAGAAAACUGUUUCUGAGGUUAAGGAAGUUCCAGCUAAAACUUAACCCAGCCAAGUGUACUUUCGGGGCUAGAUCAGGAAAAUUGCUAGGAUUCUUAGUCAGCGAAAAGGGAAUUGAAAUUGACCCAGACAAAGUUAAGGCCAUACAAGAAUUACCUCCGCCAAGUACUCAAAAAGAAGUUCGGGGUUUCCUAGGAAGACUAAAUUACAUCGCUCGAUUCAUUUCACAAUUAACUGAGAAAUGUGACCCCAUAUUCCGUCUUCUUAGGAAACACAAUCCAGGUGUAUGGGAUGAGGAGUGCCAGAAAACUUUCGAAAGAGUUAAACAUUACUUGUCCAACGCCCCAGUACUGAUGCCACCUUGCCCUGACAAACCACUGAUACUAUACUUGGCAGUAUUUGAGAAUUCCAUGGGGUGCGUGCUCGGCCAACAUGAUGAGUCAGGACGAAAAGAAAGAGCGAUCUAUUAUCUCAGUAAGAAGUUCACUGAAUGCGAAGCGAGAUAUUCGCCAAUUGAAAAAUUAUGUUGCGCAUUGGUUUGGACUACUCGGAGAUUGAGACAAUACAUGUUGUACCAUACGACUUGGUUAAUCUCAAAGUUAGAUCCUCUGAAAUACAUGAUGGAGUCAACUGCUCUAAACGGAAAGAUGGCCCGAUGGCAAAUUCUACUAUCUGAAUUUGACAUAACCUAUGUGAAUCAAAAGGCUGUAAAAGGGAGCGCGAUAGCAGAUUUUCUAGCAAGUAGAGCCCUGGACGAUUAUGAGCCUUUGAACUUUGAUUUCCCAAAUGAGGAUCUGAUGUAUGUGGCAACUAUUGAAGUAAGCACACAAGAAGGCAAUACUUGGAAAUUAAAUUUUGACGGAGCCUCAAAUGCCAUGGGCAACGGGAUUGGGGCAGUCUUGGUAUCUCCAAACGGUGAUCAUUAUCCUUUCACCAGUAAACUAGAUUUUGAUUGCACAAAUAACAUGGCGGAAUAUGAAGCAUGUAUCAUGGGAAUCCACGCGGCUAUGGAACGCAAAAUCAAGAUACUUGAGGUAUAUGGGGAUUCGGCAUUGGUAAUUUAUCAGCUCAAAGGCGAAUGGGAAACAAGAGACCCUAAGUUGAUUAGUUACCGAAGGAUAGUCCUAGAAUUGAUUGAGGAGUUUGACGACAUCACUUUUUGUUAUCUCCCACGAGACGAGAAUCAGAUGGCCGACGCUUUAGCUACAUUGGCUUCCAUGAUCAAAGUAAAUAGACCAGAGGAUGUGAAGCCUAUCCAAAUGAGCAUUUAUGAUGCUCCAGCCCACUGUUGUAACAUUGACGAAGAAGAAGAAAAGGACGACAACCCUUGGUAUCAGGAUAUAUUGCGAUACGUAAAAAAUCGUGAAUACCCAAACCAAGCAACUGAGAAUGACAAGAGAAUGUUGAGGAGGCUGGCCAGUGGUUACGUCUUAGAUGGAGAGAUCCUGUACAAAAGAGGAAAAGAUCAGGUGCUGUUAAGAUGUGUGGACGCUGUGGAGGCCAAACAGAUCUUGGAAGAAGUCCAUGAUGGUAUUUGUGGAACACACGCUAACGGUUUCACAAUGGCCAGACAGAUCAUGAGAUUUGGAUAUUAUUGGUCUACCAUGGAAGGAGACUGCAUCAAAUAUGCUAAGAAGUGCCAUAAAUGUCAGAUUUACGGAGACAAAAUUCAUGUGCCUCCAUCACCUCUUCACGUCAUGACUUCCCCAUGGCCUUUCUCCAUGUGGGGCAUGGACGUCAUUGGGCCGAUAUCGCCAAAGGCUUCAAACGGACAUCGUUUCAUUUUUGUAGUGAUUGACUACUUUACUAAGUGGGUAGAGGCUACUUCUUACGCCAACGUCACAAAGGUAGCUGUCAGCAAGUUUUUAAAGAAGGAAAUCAUAUGUCGGUAUGGAAUGCCCGAAAGGAUUAUAUCUGACAACGCAUUAAAUUUGAAUAAUAGCACGAUAGCAGAGGUUUGUAGUCAAUUCAAUAUCAAGCACCACAACUCAUCGCCAUACCGUCCAAAAAUGAAUGGUGCGGUGGAGGCAGCCAAUAAAAAUAUCAAAAGGAUUGUGGGGAAAAUGACUGAGACCUAUAGAGAUUGGCACGAGAAGUUGCCAUUCGCCCUCUAUGCUUAUCGAACGUCCGUCAGGACUUCUACCGGGGCAACACCAUUCUCUUUGGUUUAUGGAAUGGAGGCAGUGCUACCAAUUGAGGUUGAAAUUCCCUCUCUCCGAGUUUUUUCAGAACUAAAGUUAGACGAAGCAGAAUGGGUCCAAUCCCGAUAUGAUCAGCUGAACUUGAUUGAAGAAAGGAGGUUAAGAGCUAUCCGUCAUGGUCAAAUGUACCAGAAACGAAUGAUGCGAGCUUACAAUAAGAAAGUUCGUCCUAGAAACUUCCAUGAAGGGGACUUGGUACUGAAGAAGAUCCUUCCUAUGCAAAAAGACUUCAGAGGAAAGUGGAUGCCAAACUGGGAGGGACCUUAUGUAGUAAAAAAGGCCUUUUCAGGAGGGGCAUUAAUUCUAACUGGGAUGGAUGGCAAAAGCUUGCCCAAUCCUGUGAAUUCGGAUUCAGUGAAGAGGUACUUUGCCUAAAAAAAAAAAAAAAAAAGGGAGAGGCCAAGGCGAAAACCCGCAAAGGGCACCUUGAAACCAAAGGGGUUUUGAAUUGAAAACCCAGGAAUGGGCAAUUCAAAUUUUCGAUCAAAGAUGAGGCAUAAAGUAGUUUUGUCUUCUUCGAAUUAACAAGAAGGAAAGAUGCUAUAUCUUGGGGCAUCAACAAAGCCUUCUAGGACUUCUAAACACAUAUCAAGUUCAAAAGGGUCCUUAAGAAGUUUGGGGCAGAGAAGCUCAUGCUACGAUAUCUGGGGCACCUAUUUCUAUUUUAUUCAUUUUUUUGUAUUUUUGACAAAAUACAUCAUCUUGAUUAAUUUAUUCUCGUUUUGUAUUCUAGCAAAAUUUGCUAUCUUGAUUAAUUUGUUUAUUUAGAGCUUUGCUCUCAGCAAAUUUUCAUCUUAUCCGUUGUGAUAAUCUUUUUCAUCUUAUUCCUCUCGUAUCUCAGCAAAAUUUGCUAUCUUGAUUUGUUUGUUUAGAGCUUUGCUCUCAACAAAAUUUCAUUUUGUCCAUUUUAAUAAUCUUUUUCAAGCAUUUUUCAUUGAAAUAACGAUUAAUGGACUGACAAUACACAUGCAGAAGGAGUUCUGCAUAUUACUCUGAAAGUUUCUAAAUAAUACGAGGACCUGAAACAGGACUAUUGUUUAGAACUAACCAAACCUAAGGGUUGGAAACAUUUGAGAAAUGAUAGUCUAAAUAGCAUCUAUUUCUUUAGGUUUUCUGUCAAAGGUACUGGCUGAACAAGAAGGCAUCAGUGAUAGAACCUUGAUGAACAAUGAGGAAUGACAACCUAAGCAUUAAAAAUGAAUCAUUCUCAUGACAUUCUACAAAUAUAAUACAUACACAUCUAGUUAGGAGCAUUUGAUUCAUUAUAAUCAUGUCAUCCUAAACACUAGGCGUAAAUAGGUCCUAUCUUCCUAUAUUGGUAGGAAGUGGAUCAAAGAUGCAGAUCUUGUCUUCCCAUAUUGGUGGCGAAGUAGAUCGAAGAAAGCAGAUCUUGUCUUCAUGUAUUGGCGUGAAGUAGAUCGAAGGUAGCAGAUCCUAUCUUCCUAUAUUGGUAGGAAGUGGAUCGAAGAUGCAGAUCUUGUCUUCCCAUAUUGGUGGCGAAGUAGAUCGAAGAAAGCAGAUCUUGUCUUCAUGUAUUGGCGUGAAGUAGAUCGAAGGUAGCAGAUCCUAUCUUCCUAUAUUGGUAGGAAGUGGAUCGAAGAUGCAGAUCUUGUCUUCCCAUAUUGGUGGCGAAGUAGAUCGUAGAAAGCAGAUCUUGUCUUCAUGUAUUGGCGUGAAGUAGAUCGAAGGUAGCAGAUCCUAUCUUCCUAUAUUGGUAGGAAGGGGAUCGAAGAUGCAGAUCUUGUCUUCCCAUAUUGGUGGCGAAGUAGAUCGCAGAAAGCAGGUCUUGUCUUCAUGUAUUGGCGUGAAGUAGAUCGAAGAUAGCAGGUCCUAUCUUCCUAUAUUGAUAGGAAGUGGAUCCAAGAUGCAGAUCUUGUCUUCCCAUACUAGUGGUGAAGUAGAUCGAAAAAAAAAAAAGCAGAUCUGGUAUUCAUAUAUUGGUUUGAAGUAGAUCGAAGAUUGCAGAUCUUGCCUUCCUGUAUUUGGCAGCGAAGCAGAUCAAAGAUGGCGGAUUUUACCUCCCUGACUAUAGUGGAGUACAUUGAAGCCGAUAAUUCUAUCUCCCUGUAUUUGGCAGUGGAAUAGAUUGAAGAUUACAGAUCUUACCUUCCUGUAUUUGGCAGCGAAGCAGAUCAAAGAUGUCAGAUUUUACCUCCCUGACUACAGUGGAGUACAUUGAAGCCGAUAACUCUAUCUCCCUGUAUUUGGCAGUGGAAUAGAUUGAAGAUUACAGAUCUUAUCUCCCUAAGCAAUAAUGGAGUAGGUUGAAGACGGCAGAUUUUACCUCACUGAUUACAAUGGAGUACAUUGAAGCUGUUAGUUCUACUUCCCUGGGAAACAUUGGAAUAGAUUGAAGAUUUCAGGUCUUAUCUCCCUAAGUAGUAGUGGAGCAGAUCACACCCAAUCUUAUCUCCCUAAAUAGUAGUGGAGCAGACUAAAAACACAAAUCUCAUCCCCAUGGAGUCGUAGCAAAGUAUAUUGAAGCUACAAGGCGUAUCUGAAUUUGAAGUAGAGUGGAUCGAAGCAACAAGAUGUAGCAGGCUGGAAUAAGGCUACUUGAAGAAGAGAAGCACCCAAAGAAGUCAAGCCUCGGUGAGACCAGGCAAAUUUGGUCUUUUUUUAGUCCUUGCUCUGUUCUUGUUACACAAAAACGAGCAAAGAGGGGCAGCUGUAGAAGCCCAAAUUUGCCGGGCCCAUACCAACAAAAUAACCCAAACAAUAAACCCGAAGCCCAACUACCCCAGCCCAUUAACCUAAGCUCAGCAUUCAGAAACCCUAAUCCCACUAGCCCUAGCCACCUACCCCCCACUUGCCCACUUGCCCACUUGCGCCGAACACCACCAUGCCACUGUCGGCCAUGGCCACCUGCAAGAAGCCAAGUAGAAAUAAACAAAUAGAAAAUAAACAUUUGUAAUCGGUUAUAAAAACUGAAAAUCUCACCAUUGAUAGGGGGAUUUUUUAUUUUUUGCUAUGAAACAAAAGAUUUUCUUUCAAUAUUAACAGAUUCAAUACAAGAACCAUUCGAAAAUAUAUAUACUAUCAGGGGCUCUAACACCAAAUCGGAGAAUCAAAUCUAAAACCUAAGGUGACUCUUUCUUUUUUUUUUCUUUACUGUUUUGAGUUUAUUUUCUACAUAAAAAUACUAAAAAAUAUUAAAACAUAAAAAUAUAUGCAUUAUUAAGCAAAAAAAAAGAAAAAAAAAAUAUUUUUUUUACCUUUUCCAGCCACCGCGUGCGGUGGCCGGCGCCGGCGCCGGCGCCGGCGAGCCUCCGGUGGCCGUCCGGUGACCGGCCCACCCCCCUGGCCGGAUUCCCCUUUCCCCCUCCCUUCUCUCUCCCUUCUCUCUUCUC
This 18543-nucleotide long non-coding RNA is filed under the name Gossypium barbadense (sea-island cotton). RNAcentral's name for it is "long non-coding RNA (GBAR_LNC004690)". The record is from RNAcentral. Lineage: Eukaryota; Viridiplantae; Streptophyta; Magnoliopsida; Malvales; Malvaceae.